RNAcentral lists this ribosomal RNA (497 nucleotides) under uncultured bacterium. Its description in RNAcentral is "partial 16S ribosomal RNA". It matches the Rfam family "Bacterial small subunit ribosomal RNA", at positions 28 to 507 of the family's 1533-position model. The record is from RNAcentral.
GAUGAACGCUGGCGGCUUUCCUAAUACAUGCAAGUCGAGCGAACAGACGAGGAGCUUGCUCCUCUGACGUUAGCGGCGGACGGGUGAGUAACACGUGGAUAACCUACCUAUAAGACUGGGAUAACUUCGGGAAACCGGAGCUAAUACCGGAUAAUAUAUUGAACCGCAUGGUUCAAUAGUGAAAGACGGUUUUGCUGUCACUUAUAGAUGGAUCCGCGCCGCAUUAGCUAGUUGGUAAGGUAACGGCUUACCAAGGCAACGAUGCGUAGCCGACCUGAGAGGGUGAUAGGCCACACUGGAACUGAGACACGGUCCAGACUCCUACGGGAGGCAGCAGUAGGGAAUCUUCCGCAAUGGGCGAAAGCCUGACGGAGCAACGCCGCGUGAGUGAUGAAGGUCUUCGGAUCGUAAAACUCGGGUAUUAGGGAAGAACAAAUGUGUAAGUAACUAUGCACGUCUUGACGGUACCUAAUCAGAAAGCCACGGCUAACUACGGG